GACGAACGCUGGCGGCGUGCUUAACACAUGCAAGUCGAACGGAAAGGCCCUGCCUUGGUGGGGUGCUCGAGUGGCGAACGGGUGAGUAACACGUGAGUAACCUGCCCUUCACUUUGGGAUAACUUCAGGAAACUGGGGCUAAUACCGGAUAGGAGCUCCCGCUGCAUGGUGGGGGUUGGAAAGUUUCGGCGGUUGGGGAUGGACUCGCGGCUUAUCAGCUUGUUGGUGGGGUAGUGGCUUACCAAGGCUUUGACGGGUAGCCGGCCUGAGAGGGUGACGGGCCCCAUGGGGCCUGGGAUACGGCCCAGCCCCCACCGGGAGGCAGCGGUGGGAAGUAUUGCACAAGGGGCGGAAGCCUAUUCCGCCACCGCCCGGUGGGGGAUGCCGGCCUUCGGUUUGUAAACCGCUUCCGCCUGUGCCGAAGUGUUAGUGACGGUACCGGGAUAAGAAGCACCGGCUAACUACGUG
RNAcentral lists this ribosomal RNA (468 nucleotides) under uncultured bacterium. Its description in RNAcentral is "partial 16S ribosomal RNA". It matches the Rfam family "Bacterial small subunit ribosomal RNA", at positions 28 to 507 of the family's 1533-position model. The record is from RNAcentral.